RNAcentral lists this ribosomal RNA (963 nucleotides) under Triticum aestivum (bread wheat). RNAcentral describes it as "partial small subunit ribosomal RNA". Lineage: Eukaryota; Viridiplantae; Streptophyta; Magnoliopsida; Poales; Poaceae. The record is from RNAcentral.
AUGGGGAAGUGGGCUCAUUCUUUAGAAACCAAAGGGGGUGCGGCAGGGAGACCCAUUUCGUCGCGUCUUUUUAACAUCUUGGUCGAUGCCCUUGCUAGAAUCCUGGACCAUGCGAAGGAGGCAGGUCAUAUCUCCGGAGUGGCUUCCGGGAUUAUCCCCAGGGGCCUGUCACAUCUGAAAUACGCGGAUGACACCCUCAUCUUUAUCAAGAAUUCGGAGCGGGAGAUAACGAACUUAAAAUUUCUAUUAAUGUGCUUUGAGGAGAUGUCGGGGCUCAAGAUAAAUUUUGAGAAAAGCGAGGCAUUUGUCACGGGAGGUGAUUUAGAAUCACAGCUGAGAGCGGCGCACAUGAUGAAUUGUGAACUAGGGUCCAUCCCAAUGAAAUACCUGGGAAUGCCUAUAUCAUCAAGAGCGUUAUCUAUGGGAGACUUCCAGCCUGUAGUGGAUACGACUGCGGCUAGGGUGGAGCCAUGGCAAGGCAAACUCCUUGCAUCGGGCAGGAGGCUAGUUCUCAUCAACGAUUGCCUCACAAACAUCCCUAUGUUCAUUAUGGGCUUCUAUCUCCUUCAUGAAGGCACUCAUGCAAAACUUGACAAGGUGCGAUCCCGCUUCUUUUGGGCGAAGGAGGAUGGGGAAAAAUACCACAUGGUCAGGUGGGAUAAGAUAUGCGAACCAAAGGAAGUUGGAGGCUUGGGGGUCAUAAACAUCAAGGUUAUGAACUGGUGCCUUAUGACUAAAUGGGCGUGGAAGAUCUUAACGGGGCAAGGGGGCCUGUGGCUUCAGAUCUUCAGGACGAAAUACCUAGACCAGGGGGGAAUAAACUUCAGAAGGAAUGUAAAACUGUCUCAAUUUGCGAUGGCUGUAAAGAAGGUCCAACCUCUCCUCCGGCUAGGGACCCAUUUCGAGGUGCAGAACGGGAAGACCACACGCUUCUGGUCAGAUAUCUGGUGCGAGGGUAGGUGA